Non-coding RNA from Kogia breviceps (pygmy sperm whale), 1641 nucleotides. Lineage: Eukaryota; Metazoa; Chordata; Mammalia; Artiodactyla; Physeteridae. The record is from RefSeq and is a predicted model, not a curated record.
GCACUGCCCACAGGAUCUGAGGUGGAGAUGUCAGCCAGACUCCUGACCUGAUGGGUCUCCUUGUCCUCCUCUUUCAGGCCAGGAGCUGAGUCAGAAGGAAAUACUUAAUGAGAACAUACCCAUUGUGGGCAUGGUUCAAGGGCCUAUUGAGAUCUGAGGUACUGGGGGAGUAGAGCUGAGGAAGGAGAAGUCCCAAGUAAGGAACACAAAGAAGGGGUGCUUGAGAUAUGCCUUAGGGGCCUCUCAUUCUGGAGGUUAGGGAAUGGCCUCUUUAUGUCUUUAUCUGGUUGUGAAUAUGCUUACUUUCCCCUUUACCACCAGCUCCCAACCCUCCCCCACUGCAUUUCUUCUCCUUCACCUGCUCCCCCUGUACCCAGGCUGCUCAGACUAUGCAGAAACCCUACUGGGUAAUCUGUGCCCACCUCCCUACCCAACCUCACUCAUGUCAUUGGAGACCUUGCUCCUGGCUCUCAUCACUUGUUCCCCGAAGGUGCCUCAGCCCAGCCUGCUAGACCUCUCCACAUACCUGCAACCCUGUGACCACCCCUGCAGGCUGGCUGAGCCCCACCCCAAGCUCUGCGCUCAGGAGCUAAGGAACUUAGGGUCAGCCCUGAUGUGACACAAUGCCAGCUGAUCCUUGCUGAAAGCCUUGCUUGGACCCUGAGAGUCAGUUUUGUGAGAAGGUUUCUGUCAUCCCAACAACAUGCUUAACUUCUGUCUGUGGGACUCAGGGUUGGUUUCUCUGGGUCUGAGGAUCUGCCUUGGGAACCCGGGCAGUCCUUCUAGACCCUCUGAGAGUUGAGUCUUGCGGUGUUCUUAGAGAUUCACCAUUCCCACUACCCAACCCACUCCAAUCCAGGAACUGGAGACGCUGUGGCCCCAAUCUUGCUGCAUAUGUCCUGAUCUCCUGGAGUUUUUUAAAUCACCCACAUCCUCCCUGGAUACUGUGCUCUACCUGCCUGCCUGAACAUCCAUCCUCUACAGCUGCUGGGGUCCCCAGCACCUGCCCCACUGCAGAGACAGAAGUUCCCCCAAGGAAUGACUCAGAACUCUGGGAACUCCAGGCCAUGUGGGCAGAAGGGUGAUGUCCUGCCACAUCAUGGGAAAGAUUACUUGGACUUGCAGAUUCAUCACUUCUCCAGGGUGAAGUAAAAGGUCAUCGAAUCCAGCUGCCAACCAGAUGCUAGAGCCCCCUGGGCAAAAUCCCAAUGAGAAAACUGAGGCUCAAAGAGGUGAAGUGACCGGAAGCGAACUGUCUGACUCCAUUUCAUCCCAAGGGCCUGAACCCAUAGACCACGAUCAGCAUCACAGGCAGUAGGAGCAAGGCCAGCACCCCCACGAGCACAGCAGGAUAGAAGUCCUGGUGCCUGCGGAGACAGGACAGAGUGCGGAGGAGGUACAUUGGAUUUUGUUGUCUGCAACUGAACCUUGACUAAUGCAAGUCCCAAGGAAAUAGAUGCCACAUUCCAGAGUGAGCUGGGAGACCAGUGUAACACACGCAAAAAGGAAAAUAUCAAUAGAUAUGCUGAGCUGAACAGCUUCUGGAUCCAGUGCUUCUCAGAAGACUCUCACCACGGUACCAGGAUGACAUGAAUUCCCUUCAUCACCUUCUAAUGGACUCAACUGGAUGAUCAGAGAUAA